This is a long non-coding RNA of Parambassis ranga (Indian glassy fish), 290 nucleotides long. Lineage: Eukaryota; Metazoa; Chordata; Actinopteri; Ambassidae. The record is from Ensembl.
CCCAAGUCGGAGGUGGAGGCUGCGAGGCGAUCGCUGUCGCUCCGGUUGGAACAAGUGUCCAGGUGGCGUAGCUCCCUUUCGAGCCCCUCCCCCCCUGCCUCCGCCUCCUCCUCCCCGGUCCCGCCACCUCUAAGCCGAGUCGCCGGAGUGUCUCCGUCCAUCAGCACCUGCCCUCCAUCCAAACCCUGCUCCACCCCACAGUCGUCUGAAAGACACGCUCCGUCCUUCUCGUCCCCGCUCCACCCGGCCCUCCAUCGCACCCUGAGUCCCAUAGGGAAGGAGCUGUCCCC